Molecule: small nucleolar RNA, 139 nt
Filed under: Sorghum bicolor (sorghum)
Lineage: Eukaryota; Viridiplantae; Streptophyta; Magnoliopsida; Poales; Poaceae
Description: Small nucleolar RNA Z247
Rfam family: Small nucleolar RNA Z247
About the family: Z247 is a member of the C/D class of snoRNA which contain the C (UGAUGA) and D (CUGA) box motifs. Most of the members of the box C/D family function in directing site-specific 2'-O-methylation of substrate RNAs.
Source: Rfam by way of RNAcentral
AAGCUGGAGGAUGAGGAAUUGGUCUCCUAUAUUCUCACCGGCCUUGAUCAAGACUACGACUCGGUGGUGUUCGCGGUGGCGGCACGUGCCGAAACAAUCUCAGUUGGGGAGCUGUUCACCCAAUUGACAUCAUUCGAGU